Molecule: ribosomal RNA, 762 nt
Filed under: uncultured microorganism
Description: bacterial SSU rRNA
Rfam family: Bacterial small subunit ribosomal RNA
Source: RNAcentral
ACGCCUAACACAUGCAAGUCGAGCGGUAACAGGGUCUGUAGCAAUACAGGCUGCUGACGAGCGGCGGACGGGUGAGGAACACGUAGGAACUUGCCUGGGAGAGGGGGAUAACCAAGGGAAACUUUGGCUAAUACCGCGUAAACUCGAGAGAGCAAAGCUGCCCGCAAGGGUAGCGCUUCCGGAUAGGCCUGCGUCCGAUUAGCUAGUUGGUGAGGUAAUAGCUUACCAAGGCGAUGAUCGGUAACUGGUCUGAGAGGACGACCAGUCACACUGGGACUGAGACACGGCCCAGACUCCUACGGGAGGCAGCAGUGGGGAAUCUUGGACAAUGGGGGCAACCCUGAUCCAGCGAUGCCGCGUGGGUGAAGAAGGCCUUCGGGUUGUAAAGCCCUUUAGGCUGGGAAGAAGUUUGGGUGGGGAUAAUCCAUCCAGAUUGACGGUACCAGCAGAAUAAGCACCGGCAAACUCUGUGCCAGCAGCCGCGGUAAUACAGAGGGUGCGAGCGUUAAUCGGAAUUACUGGGCGUAAAGGGCGCGUAGGCGGUGGUAUGAGUGUGAUGUGAAAGCCCUGGGCUUAACCUAGGAAGUGCAUCGCAAACGAUAUGACUGGAGUAGAUGAGAGGGUGGCGGAAUUUCCGGUGUAGCAGUGAAAUGCGUAGAGAUCGGAAGGAACGUCGAUGGCGAAGGCAGCCACCUGGCAUCAUACUGACGCUGAGGCGCGAAAGCGUGGGUAGCGAACAGGAUUAGAUACCCCCGUAGUCCA